Long non-coding RNA from Acipenser ruthenus (sterlet), 392 nucleotides. RefSeq lists it as uncharacterized. The transcript is spliced from 4 exons. Lineage: Eukaryota; Metazoa; Chordata; Actinopteri; Acipenseriformes; Acipenseridae. The record is from RefSeq and is a predicted model, not a curated record.
GCUUUCUUCUACAAGCCUGGAGGUGACGGGGAAGGAUCCUCAUGACUGUGUGGUGAACCAGGGAAGCCUGUCUGGUGGAGGAGAAAAAUCUGGAGCAAAGACCAGGACAUCACCACCCCAGAGUCCCUGCAACAGUCUGGAGAGAAGACGGGGCUUCCGGCAGAUCAGUUGCAGAGGCUUGUGGGAUUGUCUGGCUCACAGGAAGUGAAAUAGAAGCUGAAACAGGUGACCCAGGAAGCACUGAAUCACAAGCUCCCUCAUGCAAGAGAUUGCAAGUGAAGAGAAGGAGACCCUUUUUAACAGCUGCACCCUGACACUUACUGGUGAGCACUUAUGAAUACUGUGUCAAAUCAAUUGCUUUAUCAGUCACUAGUUAGAUCAUUUGACAUCAU